RNAcentral lists this ribosomal RNA (253 nucleotides) under uncultured bacterium. RNAcentral's name for it is "partial 16S ribosomal RNA". It matches the Rfam family "Bacterial small subunit ribosomal RNA", at positions 524 to 776 of the family's 1533-position model. The record is from RNAcentral.
UACGGAGGGUGCAAGCGUUAUCCGGAUUCACUGGGUUUAAAGGGUGCGUAGGUGGGCAGGUAAGUCAGUGGUGAAAUCUCCGGGCUUAACUCGGAAACUGCCAUUGAUACUAUCUGUCUUGAAUACCGUGGAGGAUAGCGGAAUAUGUCAUGUAGCGGUGAAAUGCUUAGAUAUGACAUAGAACACCAAUUGCGAAGGCAGCUGGCUACACGAAUAUUGACACUGAUGCACGAAAGCCAGGGGAGCAAACGGG